Molecule: non-coding RNA, 226 nt
Filed under: Secundilactobacillus similis
Lineage: Bacteria; Bacillati; Bacillota; Bacilli; Lactobacillales; Lactobacillaceae
Description: Lactobacillus similis T-box sequence
Rfam family: T-box leader
About the family: Uncharged tRNA acts as the effector for transcription antitermination of genes in the T-box leader family. T-boxes are found upstream of many aminoacyl-tRNA synthetase genes and some amino acid biosynthetic genes usually in Gram-positive bacteria.
Source: RNAcentral
UAUGAGUCGAUGACGAGAAGAGUACCCAAGGUUGAACCAUCAAGAGAGCUUUUGGUUGGUGAGAAAAAGCGGUUGACCGCGGGGAAGAUGAUCUCAGAGAAUGGUACGGUCGUAACGGCUAGUACCACGGUGGCAACCGAUACCUUGCAACGUAUAAUUGUACGUAGAGGUUUUAGCGAUGACGCUAAAACGAAGAUGGGUGGUACCACGGUAAAGCGUCCCUAGU